This 468-nucleotide ribosomal RNA is filed under the name uncultured bacterium. RNAcentral's name for it is "partial 16S ribosomal RNA". It matches the Rfam family "Bacterial small subunit ribosomal RNA", at positions 28 to 507 of the family's 1533-position model. The record is from RNAcentral.
GACGAACGCUGGCGGCGUGCUUAACACAUGCAAGUCGAACGGAAAGGCCCUGCUUUUGUGGGUUGCUCGAGUGGCGAACGGGUGAGUAACACGUGAGUAACCUGCCCUUGACUUUGGGAUAACUUCAGGAAACUGGGGCUCAUACCGGAUAGGAGCUCCUGCUGCAUGGUGGGGGUUGGAAAGUUUCGGCGGUUGGGGAUGGACUCGCGGCUUAUCCGCUUGUUGGUGAGGUAGUGGCUUACCAAGGCUUUGACGGGUAGCCGGCCUGAGAGGGUGACCGGCGACAAGGGGACUGAGAUACGGAGCAGAAGGCUACGGGAGGCAGCAGGGGGGAAUAUUGCAGAAUGGGGGGAAGCGAGAGGCGGCAACGCCGCGUGCGGGAUGACGGGCUUCGGGUGGUAAACCACUGUCGCCUGUGACGAAGCGUGAGUGACGGUAAUGGGUAAAGAAGCACCGGCUAACUACGUG